AGAGUUUGAUCCUGGCUCAGAUUGAACGCUGGCGGCAUGCCUUACACAUGCAAGUCGAACGGCAGCACGGGAGCAAUCCUGGUGGCGAGUGGCGAACGGGUGAGUAAUACAUCGGAACGUGCCCUGUCGUGGGGGAUAACUAGUCGAAAGAUUAGCUAAUACCGCAUACGACCUGAGGGUGAAAGCGGGGGACCGUAAGGCCUCGCGCGAUAGGAGCGGCCGAUGUCUGAUUAGCUAGUUGGUGGGGUAAAGGCCCACCAAGGCGACGAUCAGUAGCUGGUCUGAGAGGACGAUCAGCCACACUGGGACUGAGACACGGCCCAGACUCCUACGGGAGGCAGCAGUGGGGAAUUUUGGACAAUGGGGGCAACCCUGAUCCAGCAAUGCCGCGUGUGUGAAGAAGGCCUUCGGGUUGUAAAGCACUUUUGUCCGGAAAGAAAUCCCUUGCUCUAAUAAAGCGGGGGGAUGACGGUACCGGAAGAAUAAGCACCGGAUAACUAUGUGCCAGCAG
Molecule: ribosomal RNA, 511 nt
Filed under: uncultured bacterium
Lineage: Bacteria
Description: bacterial SSU rRNA
Rfam family: Bacterial small subunit ribosomal RNA
Source: RNAcentral